AACGAACGCUGGCGGCAUGCCUAACACAUGCAAGUCGAACGAGACCUUCGGGUCUAGUGGCGCACGGGUGCGUAACGCGUGGGAACCUGCCCUUAGGUUCGGAAUAACUCCCCGAAAGGGGUGCUAAUACCGGAUAAUGUCUUCGGACCAAAGAUUUAUCGCCUGUGGAUGGGCCCGCGUUGGAUUAGCUUGUUGGUAGGGUAAAGGCCUACCAAGGCGAUGAUCGGUAGCUGGUCUGAGAGGAUGAGAGGACAAACUGGGACGGAGAUACGGCCCAGACUACGAUGGGAGGCAGCGGUGGGGAAGAUGGUAAAAGGGGCGGAAGCAGGAGGUAGCAACGCAGCGUGCGGGAAGACGGGCAGCGGGUUGGAAACCGAUGUCGCCUGUGACGAAGGGGUAGUGACGGUAACGGGUAAAGAAGCACCGGCUAACUACGUG
RNAcentral lists this ribosomal RNA (438 nucleotides) under uncultured bacterium. RNAcentral describes it as "partial 16S ribosomal RNA". It matches the Rfam family "Bacterial small subunit ribosomal RNA", at positions 29 to 507 of the family's 1533-position model. The record is from RNAcentral.